GACCCUGAAGGGGGUGGGGGAUGAGCAAGCAGGUUUACAACAAUCCUCCUUGAGUUGGAAGAGAACAGUUCUGAGUAUAAGAUGAGUAUGCUCUUUCGGAAAAGCGACAACUUGUGUUGUGAACACGGUUUUCUCCCUUAGCCUGGCCGGCACCGAAGCUGAGAGAUGGUUCCUAGAACCGGUGGAAAGUUCUCAGGCGAACUGAUCAAAUAAGCCCUAAGGAAUCUAUGUUGAGAUCAACUUUAAACAAAUAUUUUCUUUUUUACUUUUUUUUUCUACUAGUGGUUCUAAAAAUCCCAUCUCAGGUGAAAGGUUUCGACUUUCAGCGGAGUGUAGCCUUUUGAAAAGCAGGGGUUUUGUUUGUUUGUUUUUUAAAGGACGAAAUAAAGGAUUUGCAAGAGCAUGAACUGGCCGGCAGAAGUGUCGAUUCCACUGUGCGGCUUUUAGUUCUUGAACCAAGCUGGGGGCUUGCAACAGCCGCUCCUUUGCCUUGCUUCUUACCACCACCCAGCGUCCUGAGUCUAACCCUGCCUGGAGAUUCAGACGGGACGAAUAGUUAGAGCAACACAUCAGACCCAGAGCCCUGCAGAUCUUUGCACCAGAGCUGAAGUGUAACGCCAGGUACAAGAAUGAACACAGCAGGUGCAGUAUUGGAAAACAGAAGAGUGGAACGGCUGGCGACAGCGGUAAGAAAUCCUAGUGCAGAAAUUAUAGCUGGGUGUAUGAAACACACAGACCUGGACCCUGGACCCAUGAUCAGACGACAGAAGCAGAUCAUUCAUCUGUGCUAGGCACUGUGUUAUGCAAUAUGUAAUGUGCUAUUCCAUAUACUUAACAUGCAUAAAUAUUAGAUGCUGUUUCAUGUAAUAUAUACAGAAUGAUGUCUAUUGACUAUAUAUUUGGCGUAUCUCUAAUCGUGUAUUGAAUACUAGGCACAAUAUUCCAUAUUAUAAUACACAAUAUCAAAUAACACGAAGAAGCUAAUAUUCUAUAAUAAAUUGCUUGUGUAUUUCAUAGA
Molecule: non-coding RNA, 1018 nt
Organism: Caretta caretta (loggerhead turtle)
Lineage: Eukaryota; Metazoa; Chordata; Testudines; Cheloniidae
Source: RefSeq, a predicted model, not a curated record